AAAAUGAUCCAUCAUCAUUAUCAAAAAUCCAUAUGAACUAAGGCUUCCUUUGGCAAAGCUUUUAGGAGAGCCAAAAAGUACUUUUUAACCUCCAAAAUAUUUUUGAAUGGUAUGAUGGUAUUUGGUAAAAAAAUUUAAUUUUUUUUUGCUUUGCCGAAUAGCUAAAAAAGUGUACUUACAAAAAGCUCCAUUUUGGAGCUUCUCCUCAAAAGUAUUUUUUGACCAAUGUCGGAAAGCUAUUUUGGUUUUAAUGGAUGCUUUGGUGACCAAAAAUACCUACUAACAAAUCUCAUAUAUAUACAUUUUAU
RNAcentral lists this long non-coding RNA (308 nucleotides) under Phoenix dactylifera (date palm). RNAcentral's name for it is "long non-coding RNA (PDAC_LNC018843)". The record is from RNAcentral. Lineage: Eukaryota; Viridiplantae; Streptophyta; Magnoliopsida; Arecales; Arecaceae.